AUACUUACCUGGCAGGGGAGAUACCAUGAUCAUGAAGGUGGUCUUCCCAGGGUAGGGCUCAUCCAUUGUGCUCCAGAUAUGCUGAUCCCUGCAAUUUUCUCAAAUGUGGGAGACUCAACUGCGUGAUUUGUGGUAGUGUGGGAUUGCGUUUGCACUUUGAUAUU
This is a small nuclear RNA of Hemicordylus capensis (graceful crag lizard), 164 nucleotides long. RefSeq annotates it as U1 spliceosomal RNA. The transcript has a single exon. The record is from RefSeq and is a predicted model, not a curated record. Lineage: Eukaryota; Metazoa; Chordata; Lepidosauria; Squamata; Cordylidae.